Molecule: ribosomal RNA, 722 nt
Filed under: uncultured bacterium
Lineage: Bacteria
Description: bacterial SSU rRNA
Rfam family: Bacterial small subunit ribosomal RNA
Source: RNAcentral
GGGUGAGUAACGCGUGAGAAUCUGCCUUGGGGUCGGGGACAACCACUGGAAACGGUGGCUAAUACCGGAUACGCCUUCGGGUAAAAGAUUUAUUGCCCUAAGAGGAGCUCGCGUCUGAUUAGCUAGUUGGUGAGGUAAGAGCUCACCAAGGCAGCGAUCAGUAGCUGGUCUGAGAGGACGAUCAGCCACACUGGGACUGAGACACGGCCCAGACUCCUACGGGAGGCAGCAGUGGGGAAUUUUCCGCAAUGGGCGAAAGCCUGACGGAGCAAGACCGCGUGAGGGAGGAAGGCUCUUGGGUUGUAAACCUCUUUUCUCAGGGAAGAAGCUCUGACGGUACCUGAGGAAUCAGCCUCGGCUAACUCCGUGCCAGCAGCCGCGGUAAUACGGAGGAGGCAAGCGUUAUCCGGAAUUAUUGGGCGUAAAGCGUCCGCAGGUGGCGAUUCAAGUCUGCUGUCAAAGCACGGGGCUUAACUCCGUAAAGGCAGUGGAAACUGAAUAGCUAGAGUGCCGUAGGGGUAGAGGGAAUUCCCGGUGUAGCGGUGAAAUGCGUAGAGAUCGGGAAGAACAUCGGUGGCGAAAGCGCUCUACUGGACGGCAACUGACACUCAGGGACGAAAGCUAGGGGAGCGAAUGGGAUUAGAUACCCCAGUAGUCCUAGCUGUAAACGAUGGAUACUAGGUGUAGCUUGUAUCGACCCGAGCUGUGCCGAAGCUAACGCG